UGGGGAAUAUUGCACAAUGGGCGCAAGCCUGAUGCAGCCAUGCCGCGUGUAUGAAGAAGGCCUUAGGGUUGUAAAGUACUUUCAGCGGGGAGGAAGGCGAUAAGGUUAAUAACCUUGUCGAUUGACGUUACCCGCAGAAGAAGCACCGGCUAACUCCGUGCCAGCAGCCGCGGUAAUACGGAGGGUGCAAGCGUUAAUCGGAAUUACUGGGCGUAAAGCGCACGCAGGCGGUCUGUCAAGUCGGAUGUGAAAUCCCCGGGCUCAACCUGGGAACUGCAUUCGAAACUGGCAGGCUAGAGUCUUGUAGAGGGGGGUAGAAUUCCAGGUGUAGCGGUGAAAUGCGUAGAGAUCUGGAGGAAUACCGGUGGCGAAGGCGGCCCCCUGGACAAAGACUGACGCUCAGGUGCGAAAGCGUGGGGAGCAAACA
This 427-nucleotide ribosomal RNA is filed under the name uncultured bacterium. Its description in RNAcentral is "partial 16S ribosomal RNA". It matches the Rfam family "Bacterial small subunit ribosomal RNA", at positions 355 to 774 of the family's 1533-position model. The record is from RNAcentral.